GGGGCUGAUAAAAAAACGUUACCCGCCGGAGUGGUGCAGGGACGUAGGAAUUUCGGACGCGGGUUCAACUCCCGCCAGCUCCACCA
Molecule: transfer-messenger RNA, 86 nt
Filed under: Salmonella enterica
Lineage: Bacteria; Pseudomonadati; Pseudomonadota; Gammaproteobacteria; Enterobacterales; Enterobacteriaceae
Rfam family: transfer-messenger RNA
About the family: Bacterial tmRNA, also known as 10Sa RNA or SsrA, is named for its dual tRNA and mRNA-like properties.
Source: RNAcentral